This 257-nucleotide ribosomal RNA is filed under the name uncultured prokaryote. Its description in RNAcentral is "partial 16S ribosomal RNA". It matches the Rfam family "Bacterial small subunit ribosomal RNA", at positions 524 to 780 of the family's 1533-position model. The record is from RNAcentral.
UACGGAGGAUCCAAGCGUUAUCCAGAUUUAUUGGGUUUAAAGGGUGCGCAGGCGGAAGAUUAAGUCGGCGGUGAAAUUUUGCAGCUCAACUGUAAAAGUGCCAUCGAUACUGGUUUUCUUGAGUGUGGAUGAAGUAGGCGGAAUUUGUGGUGUAGCGGUGAAAUGCAUAGAUAUCACGAGGAACUCCGAUUGCGCAGGCAGCUUACUAGGCCAUAACUGACGCUCAGGCACGAAGGCGUGGGGAUCAAACAGGAUUA